AUCGAACGCUGGCGGCAGGCCUAACACAUGCAAGUCGAACGAGUGGCGGACGGGUGAGUAAUGUCUGGGAAACUGGCUGAUGGAGGGGGAUAACUACUGGAACAGGUAGCUAAUAGUGCAUACCGUGAGAUCGGCCCAGAUGGGAUUAGCUAGUUGGUGGGGUAACGGCUCACCGAGGCGACGAUGCCUAGCUGGUCUGAGAGGAUGAUCAGCCACACUGGGACUGAGACACGGUCCAGACUCCUACGGGAGGCAGCAGUAGGGAAUAUUCGGCAAUGGACGCAAGCCUGAUGGAGCAAUGCCGCGUGAGUGAAGAAGGCUUUCGGAUCGUAAAGCUCUGUUGUUGGGGAAGCGGUACCUACACAGAAAGCACCGGCUAACUCCGUGCCAGCAGCCGCGGUAAUUC
This 406-nucleotide ribosomal RNA is filed under the name uncultured bacterium. RNAcentral's name for it is "partial 16S ribosomal RNA". It matches the Rfam family "Bacterial small subunit ribosomal RNA", at positions 30 to 526 of the family's 1533-position model. The record is from RNAcentral.